RNAcentral lists this long non-coding RNA (264 nucleotides) under Elaeis guineensis (African oil palm). Its description in RNAcentral is "long non-coding RNA (EGUI_LNC040850)". The record is from RNAcentral. Lineage: Eukaryota; Viridiplantae; Streptophyta; Magnoliopsida; Arecales; Arecaceae.
GAUGGGUUGGAUCUUUACCUCGGAUUAGCUUUGAUCUCACCUCGAAUGUGCUUGAUCUUUACUUCAUAUUAGCUUUGAUCUCACCUCAAAUAGGCUUGAUCUUUUCCUCAGAUUGGCCUUGACUUCACCUUAGAUGAGUUGCAUCUUUACUCUGGAUUGGUCUUGAUCUUCACUUUGAAUGGGUUGCAUCUUUACCUCGGAUUGGCCUUGACUUCACCUUGGAUGAGUUUGAUCUUUAUCUCUGAUUGGCCUUGACUUCACCUC